Molecule: ribosomal RNA, 395 nt
Filed under: Escherichia coli
Lineage: Bacteria; Pseudomonadati; Pseudomonadota; Gammaproteobacteria; Enterobacterales; Enterobacteriaceae
Description: bacterial LSU rRNA
Rfam family: Bacterial large subunit ribosomal RNA
Source: RNAcentral
AGACAGCCAGGAUGUUGGCUUAGAAGCAGCCAUCAUUUAAAGAAAGCGUAAUAGCUCACUGGUCGAGUCGGCCUGCGCGGAAGAUGUAACGGGGCUAAACCAUGCACCGAAGCUGCGGCAGCGACACUAUGUGUUGUUGGGUAGGGGAGCGUUCUGUAAGCCUGUGAAGGUGUACUGUGAGGUAUGCUGGAGGUAUCAGAAGUGCGAAUGCUGACAUAAGUAACGAUAAAGCGGGUGAAAAGCCCGCUCGCCGGAAGACCAAGGGUUCCUGUCCAACGUUAAUCGGGGCAGGGUGAGUCGACCCCUAAGGCGAGGCCGAAAGGCGUAGUCGAUGGGAAACAGGUUAAUAUUCCUGUACUUGGUGUUACUGCGAAGGGGGGACGGAGAAGGCUAUG